Hyaena hyaena (striped hyena) is the source of this 109-nucleotide small nuclear RNA. The record is from RefSeq and is a predicted model, not a curated record. NCBI's taxonomy places the organism in Eukaryota, Metazoa, Chordata, Mammalia, Carnivora, Hyaenidae.
UACAGUGCUUCUUCAGCAUGGUGAAAUUGAAAUGAUACAGAGAAGAUUAGCAUAGCCUCUACAUAAAGAUGACCCAUGAAUUCAUUUUAUAUAUAUAUUCCAUAUUUUU